RNAcentral lists this ribosomal RNA (402 nucleotides) under Verrucomicrobiota bacterium. RNAcentral's name for it is "Verrucomicrobia bacterium partial 16S ribosomal RNA". It matches the Rfam family "Bacterial small subunit ribosomal RNA", at positions 355 to 776 of the family's 1533-position model. Lineage: Bacteria; Pseudomonadati; Verrucomicrobiota. The record is from RNAcentral.
UGGGGAAUUUUGCACAAUGGGGGAAACCCUGAUGCAGCGACGCCGCGUGAUUUAGAAGGCCUUCGGGUUGUAAAAAUCUUUUUUAUGGGAUGAAAAUGACAGUACCAUAAGAAUAAGGUCCGGCUAAAUACGUGCCAGCAGCCGCGGUAAUACGUAUGGACCGAGCGUUGUCCGGAAUCAUUGGGCGUAAAGGGUACGUAGGCGGCCCAGUAAGUUAGAAGUGAAAUAAUAUAGCUCAACUAUAUAAAGCUUUUAAAACUGCUAGGCUUGAGAGAUGGAAGGGAAAGAGGAAUUCCUAGUGUAGCGGUGAAAUGCGCAGAUAUUAGGAAGAAUACCGGUGGCGAAGGCGACUUUCUGGUCAUCAUCUGACGCUGAGGUACGAAAGCGUGGGUAGCAAACAGG